UCUCCUGGAAAACGGGUGGUAAUGCCGGAUGUUCCACAUGAUCGCAUGUGAUUGUGGGAAAGAUUCUAUCGGCGUGGGAUGGGGUCGCGUCCUAUCAGCUUGUUGGUGAGGUAACGGCUCACCAAGGCUUCGACGGGUAGCCGGCCUGAGAGGGCGACCGGCCACAUUGGGACUGAGAUACGGCCCAGACUCCUACGGGAGGCAGCAGUGGGGAAUAUUGCACAAUGGGCGCAAGCCUGAUGCAGCGACGCCGCGUGAGGGAUGGAGGCCUUCGGGUUGUAAACCUCUUUUGUUUGGGAGCAAGCCUUCGGGUGAGUGUACCUUUCGAAUAAGCGCCGGCUAACUACGUGCCAGCAGCCGCGGUAAUACGUAGGGCGCAAGCGUUAUCCGGAUUUAUUGGGCGUAAAGGGCUCGUAGGCGGCUCGUCGCGUCCGGUGUGAAAGUCCAUCGCUUAACGGUGGAUCUGCGCCGGGUACGGGCGGGCUGGAGUGCGGUAGGGGAGACUGGAAUUCCCGGUGUAACGGUGGAAUGUGUAGAUAUCGGAAGAACACC
This 552-nucleotide ribosomal RNA is filed under the name Bifidobacterium bifidum. Its description in RNAcentral is "bacterial SSU rRNA". It matches the Rfam family "Bacterial small subunit ribosomal RNA", at positions 146 to 710 of the family's 1533-position model. Lineage: Bacteria; Bacillati; Actinomycetota; Actinomycetes; Bifidobacteriales; Bifidobacteriaceae. The record is from RNAcentral.